RNAcentral lists this transfer RNA (61 nucleotides) under Dipodomys ordii (Ord's kangaroo rat). Lineage: Eukaryota; Metazoa; Chordata; Mammalia; Rodentia; Heteromyidae. The record is from Rfam by way of RNAcentral.
GGCGCUGUGGCUCAAGCGGUAGAGCGCUUGCCUUGAGCUCAAGAGCGCAGGGACAGCGCCC